Capra hircus (goat) is the source of this 726-nucleotide long non-coding RNA. RefSeq lists it as uncharacterized. The record is from RefSeq and is a predicted model, not a curated record. The transcript is spliced from 3 exons. NCBI's taxonomy places the organism in Eukaryota, Metazoa, Chordata, Mammalia, Artiodactyla, Bovidae.
AACAGAGGAGAGAAAGAGUAAAUUCAAGAAGCAACUUAAAUAUUUCGAGAAAAUCUUUCAAAAGUAAAACAGGAACUAACGGUGGUGAAGAAGGGGAGACAAAAAGCCGACCACAGUAGUAUCUUCUGCACUUAAAUGUCGUUUUACCUUAAUGGGAAAGUCAACCUUUAGCCUCCAUGUUUAUGUUAAGAAAAAUCAAGCUAUACUACAUUUGGUUUACAUACUUUUUUUCAGGUCCUCUACUUUCCCCAAAUUUAAAAUCACAAAGGAUAAUAAUGUAUAAUCAGAAGAAAUUUGUAUUUAAUUCCUGGUGAGACAAAAAACCCAAAUUCUAGUCACUAUCACUUUUUCUCUGCUUCUCUAUUAGGAACUGAACUGUAUUUCAGAAAGCUGACCAGUAGAAAAAAUGGUUUUAUUUCACAGUAGCACUGCAUUUAUUGGGAACAUGGAACACAAUAUAAACUUUUCUUGAAUACUCAACAAUUUUUUCUUUGAAGAACAAUCACUUAUACUGUGCUGUAAGUGAAGCAAGCUCCUCAGAAGCCACCAAAGGAGGAAAAAUGUGUGUCUGGACAUUAAAAGAGGUCUUUCUGAAGAGUGUGAUGAAGGUGCAAGAAUGAAUGCUAGCAGAAAAUAAUCAAAACCCAAGAGACAUACACAUGGAUUCACGAAACACUGAAAUUUAGUAUUCGAUAAAACAUGUAUAUGCCUAAAACCUUCAAACCA